This 333-nucleotide long non-coding RNA is filed under the name Sorghum bicolor (sorghum). RNAcentral's name for it is "long non-coding RNA (SBIC_LNC009840)". Lineage: Eukaryota; Viridiplantae; Streptophyta; Magnoliopsida; Poales; Poaceae. The record is from RNAcentral.
UUACAAAUGUUUUGCUCCGACAAUAGCUAAAUUUACCUUUAGAAAAUGAUUUGGCUAAUCUCUUGAAGAUGCUCUAGUUUUGUAAAAUAGGAAGUUGACUUUCCCUUAAUUUUUUGUGGCUAUAUAUAGCUUAUUUCAGACGCUGAAUAUAUAACUUUGUAAGAUAACAAGACUGUUAUAAAUUUUUUUCUUUUUUUAGAAGUUUUGUAUUCUACAAAAUGGCUAAACAAUAGAAUUUAAUAAUUUGUUUUAGCCAGAUUAUUAGAGUUGCUUUUAUGGGCUAUAUAUUUGCAACAUUCAACAAAUCAACAUACUGAUUAUAUAUGUGUGUAU